AAGCUGAUGACUAGACAGGCGAGACUUCGCAAGUUAAAAUACUAGAGCCAACACUUUUCCUAGUGGGUCUCAACGAAUGGGACUCUUGCUUCCUAUUUUCCACCAAAGUGAGAUGCUGCAGUUAUAGACAUCGACAAAGGUGUUUGGCGAACCGUUUUUGAGUGGAUAUGGAGCCAGACGCUUGAUAAUCACUUGAAGAACCUUCACUUAUGUGUCGAGCAGAAAUAAUACAUGGAUAGUAUUUAAGUAUUCAACACAGCAAAAUAAUCAAGGAGUCAAUGUAAGCAUUAAGUGAGUUCUCAUAUGAAAAUUCUUCCAAUUGUAAAAUCGAUGAUUAGUGUAGUUAAUGAAGACUAGUUUGUUACCAGUUGUCGACCAUUGGAACCAGUUUGAGAUUUUGGAGCCUUGAAUACGGGGAGUACAACUCACUUUGUGAACGGAAUCAAAAAUAUGUAAAUGUGUGCAAAC
Molecule: non-coding RNA, 468 nt
Organism: Onthophagus taurus
Lineage: Eukaryota; Metazoa; Arthropoda; Insecta; Coleoptera; Scarabaeidae
Source: RefSeq, a predicted model, not a curated record